CGAGGUGGAAGCAUGGUGAUAUGUGGAGCUGACGAAUACUAAUAGAUCGAGGACUUAACCAUA
This 63-nucleotide ribosomal RNA is filed under the name Bacillus anthracis (anthrax bacterium). RNAcentral's name for it is "partial 23S ribosomal RNA". Lineage: Bacteria; Bacillati; Bacillota; Bacilli; Caryophanales; Bacillaceae. The record is from RNAcentral.